Molecule: ribosomal RNA, 1556 nt
Filed under: Salmonella enterica subsp. enterica serovar Gallinarum
Lineage: Bacteria; Pseudomonadati; Pseudomonadota; Gammaproteobacteria; Enterobacterales; Enterobacteriaceae
Also listed under: 169 other names
Description: bacterial SSU rRNA
Rfam family: Bacterial small subunit ribosomal RNA
Source: RNAcentral
UUAAAUUGAAGAGUUUGAUCAUGGCUCAGAUUGAACGCUGGCGGCAGGCCUAACACAUGCAAGUCGAACGGUAACAGGAAGCAGCUUGCUGCUUCGCUGACGAGUGGCGGACGGGUGAGUAAUGUCUGGGAAACUGCCUGAUGGAGGGGGAUAACUACUGGAAACGGUGGCUAAUACCGCAUAACGUCGCAAGACCAAAGAGGGGGACCUUCGGGCCUCUUGCCAUCAGAUGUGCCCAGAUGGGAUUAGCUUGUUGGUGAGGUAACGGCUCACCAAGGCGACGAUCCCUAGCUGGUCUGAGAGGAUGACCAGCCACACUGGAACUGAGACACGGUCCAGACUCCUACGGGAGGCAGCAGUGGGGAAUAUUGCACAAUGGGCGCAAGCCUGAUGCAGCCAUGCCGCGUGUAUGAAGAAGGCCUUCGGGUUGUAAAGUACUUUCAGCGGGGAGGAAGGUGUUGUGGUUAAUAACCGCAGCAAUUGACGUUACCCGCAGAAGAAGCACCGGCUAACUCCGUGCCAGCAGCCGCGGUAAUACGGAGGGUGCAAGCGUUAAUCGGAAUUACUGGGCGUAAAGCGCACGCAGGCGGUCUGUCAAGUCGGAUGUGAAAUCCCCGGGCUCAACCUGGGAACUGCAUUCGAAACUGGCAGGCUUGAGUCUUGUAGAGGGGGGUAGAAUUCCAGGUGUAGCGGUGAAAUGCGUAGAGAUCUGGAGGAAUACCGGUGGCGAAGGCGGCCCCCUGGACAAAGACUGACGCUCAGGUGCGAAAGCGUGGGGAGCAAACAGGAUUAGAUACCCUGGUAGUCCACGCCGUAAACGAUGUCUACUUGGAGGUUGUGCCCUUGAGGCGUGGCUUCCGGAGCUAACGCGUUAAGUAGACCGCCUGGGGAGUACGGCCGCAAGGUUAAAACUCAAAUGAAUUGACGGGGGCCCGCACAAGCGGUGGAGCAUGUGGUUUAAUUCGAUGCAACGCGAAGAACCUUACCUGGUCUUGACAUCCACAGAAGAAUCCAGAGAUGGAUUUGUGCCUUCGGGAACUGUGAGACAGGUGCUGCAUGGCUGUCGUCAGCUCGUGUUGUGAAAUGUUGGGUUAAGUCCCGCAACGAGCGCAACCCUUAUCCUUUGUUGCCAGCGGUUAGGCCGGGAACUCAAAGGAGACUGCCAGUGAUAAACUGGAGGAAGGUGGGGAUGACGUCAAGUCAUCAUGGCCCUUACGACCAGGGCUACACACGUGCUACAAUGGCGCAUACAAAGAGAAGCGACCUCGCGAGAGCAAGCGGACCUCAUAAAGUGCGUCGUAGUCCGGAUUGGAGUCUGCAACUCGACUCCAUGAAGUCGGAAUCGCUAGUAAUCGUGGAUCAGAAUGCCACGGUGAAUACGUUCCCGGGCCUUGUACACACCGCCCGUCACACCAUGGGAGUGGGUUGCAAAAGAAGUAGGUAGCUUAACCUUCGGGAGGGCGCUUACCACUUUGUGAUUCAUGACUGGGGUGAAGUCGUAACAAGGUAACCGUAGGGGAACCUGCGGUUGGAUCACCUCCUUACCUUAAAGAAGC